RNAcentral lists this ribosomal RNA (343 nucleotides) under uncultured Pseudomonadota bacterium. Its description in RNAcentral is "bacterial SSU rRNA". It matches the Rfam family "Bacterial small subunit ribosomal RNA", at positions 29 to 351 of the family's 1533-position model. The record is from RNAcentral. Lineage: Bacteria; Pseudomonadati; Pseudomonadota.
AAUGAACGCUGGCGGCGUGCUUAACACAUGCAAGUCGCACGAGAACGGUUUGGCUUGCCAGACCAAGUAAAGUGGCGCACGGGUGAGUAACGCGUGGGUAAUCUACCCCUGAAUUUGGGAUAACACUUCGAAAGGAGUGCUAAUACCGGAUAACAUCAUUUUGUCUUUGGGCGAGGUGAUCAAAGAUGGCCUCUACAUGUAAGCUAUUGUUUGGGGAUGAGCCCGCGUACCAUUAGCUAGUUGGUAGGGUAAUGGCCUACCAAGGCUACGAUGGUUAGCUGGUCUGAGAGGAUGAUCAGCCACACUGGAACUGAAACACGGUCCAGACUCCUACGGGAGGCUG